ACCUGUGACUGGAGUUCAGACGUGUGCUCUUCCGAUCUCGGUGGGAGCCUUCGGGUGACCGCGUGCCUUUUGCAUAAUGAGCCUACGAGUUACUCCUCACUAGCAAGAUUAAGAGAUUAAGUCUCGGAGUCGAAGCGAAAGCGAGUGUUAAAAGCGCGUUUAGUUAGUGGGGGUAGACGCGAAACCCGGUGAUCUACCCAUGGGCAGGUUGAAGCUUCGGUAAUACGAAGUGGAGGACCGAACCGCCAGACGUUGAAAAGUCUUCGGAUGACCUGUGGGUAGGGGUGAAAGGCUAAUCAAACCGGGAGAUAGCUCGUACUCUCCGAAAUGCAUUUAGGUGCAGCCUCGGAUUUAGUGUCAUAGAGGUAGAGCUACUGAUUGGGCUAGGGGGCUUCACCGCCUACCAAACCCUGACAAACUCCGAAUACUAUGACAUAUACCCGGGAGUGAGGGCAUGGGUGCUAAGGUCCAUGUCCGAGAGGGGAACAACCCAGACCAUCAGCUAAGGUCCCCAAAUAUCAACUAAGUUGUUUAAACGUGGUGUGAUUGCUUUGACAGCUAGGAUGUUGGCUUGGAAGCAGCCAUUCAUUUAACGAGUGCGUAACAGCUCACUAGUCGAGCGAUCAUGCGUGGAUAAUACACGGGCAUAAGUUGAUUACCGAAGCUAUGGAUUUAUGGUAGGAGAGCAUUGUAACAGCUUUGAAGCUGUGCCGUAAGGCAUGGUGGAGCGGUUACAAAAGAAAAUGUAGGCAUAAGUAACGAUAAAAUAGGUGAGAAACCUAUUCGCCAAUAGACUAAGGUUUCCUGAACAACGCUAAUCGGUUCAGGGUUAGUCGGACCCUAAGGUGAAUCCGAAUGGAGUAACCGAUGGAAAACAGGUUAAUAUUCCUGUACUAGCAAUAAUGCGAUGUGGGGACGGAGAUGUGUAGCUGCUAAAAGCUGACGGAAAUGCUGAGACCUAGCCUUCGGGCGAAGUUGCAGUAGUGAAUCAUCUUCCAAGAAAAGCCACUAAGCUCCAGUUAUCUGCUAUCCGUACCGCAAACCGACACAGGUAGUCAAGUAGAGUAUACUAAGGCGCUCGAGUGAAUCGUGGUUAAGGAACUAGGCAAAAUCGUCUCGUAACUUCGGGAGAAGAGACGCCAAUCUUCGGAUUGGCCGCAGUGAUUAGGCCCAAGCAACUGUUUAUCAAAAACACAUGGCUUUGCUAAAUCGAAAGAUGAUGUAUAAGGCCUGACGCCUGCCCGGUGCUGGAAGGUUAAGAGGAGAUGUUAGCUUUGCGAAGCAUUGAAUUGAAGCCCCAGUAAACGGCGGCCGUAACUAUAACGGUCCUAAGGUAGCGAAAUUCCUUGUCGGGUAAGUUCCGACCUGCACGAAUGGUGUAACGAUUUGGAUACUGUCUCAACCACGAGCUCGGUGAAAUUGUAGUAUCGGUGAAGAUGCCGAUUACCCGCAACGGGACGAAAAGACCCCGUGCACCUUUACUACAGCUUCACAUUGUGCUUGAAUAUAAGAUGUGUAGGAUAGGUGGGAGACUAUGAAGGUGUAUCGCUAGAUAUGCUGGAGUCAUCGUUGAAAUACCACCCUUCUUAUAUUUAGGUUCUAAUCUAUGAAAAUGGAGACAUUGUGUGGUGGGUAGUUUGACUGGGGUGGUCGCCUCCAAAAGAGUAACGGAGGCUUGCAAAGGUACCCUCAGCAUGGUUGGUAAUCAUGCAAAGAGCAUAUUAGUAUAAGGGUGCUUGACUGAGAGACCGACGGGUCGAACAGGUAGGAAACUAGGCUAAAGUGAUCCGGUAGUUCCGCAUGGAAGGGCUAUCGCUCAAAGGAUAAAAGGUACGCCGGGGAUAACAGGCUGAUCUCCCCCAAGAGCUCAUAUCGACGGGGAGGUUUGGCACCUCGAUGUCGGCUCGUCACAUCCUGGGGCUGGAGAAGGUCCCAA
RNAcentral lists this ribosomal RNA (1936 nucleotides) under seawater metagenome. RNAcentral describes it as "bacterial LSU rRNA". It matches the Rfam family "Bacterial large subunit ribosomal RNA", at positions 1 to 2568 of the family's 2925-position model. The record is from RNAcentral.